Long non-coding RNA from Brassica rapa (field mustard), 995 nucleotides. RefSeq lists it as uncharacterized. NCBI's taxonomy places the organism in Eukaryota, Viridiplantae, Streptophyta, Magnoliopsida, Brassicales, Brassicaceae. The record is from RefSeq and is a predicted model, not a curated record.
GAUGAAGGUAUUGAGGAACCAGUUUCAUAUCCCGACCUUGUGAGAAAGACUCUCACCCGUAAAGAUGGGACCUUCAUUGACGAACAAGCAGCGGCACUGGUUCUAGAGGUUGAGAAAGCGGUUGAAGAGAUGCUACAAGAGGGAUCUCCAGGUUGGAGAUAGCCAAACUAACUCAACGGCUGCCACAAUAACUUCAAAGCGCCUUCUCCUAAACCAAGAAUACAUCAAGCGUGGACAGACACGCAUGGUCACCAUUUAUGGACUUAGCAAUCUUCAAUACAAGAACAAACAUCCUUUUGGGUCGGUCCCUGCUGCACUCAAGCAAAACAUAGACAUGGAAAUGCGGGUUUCUGGCUUGGAGACUCUCACUCAGGAAAUCAAGUCUGAUGUUCAUGCUUUAAAGACUUACUUCAAUGAAGGGACAGCUAAAACUCAGUCAACUCUCAACAUGAGUCUGCAACUUCAACAGCCUCAAGCUUCUAGUGUGGGCCUCAAAACGCCAAUUCGUCAACAUACUCAAAAAUAGACACAUGGAAGCUCUGCGAGACCAGCAAACGGAAAAGACAGAAAAGAGAGAGGAAGGAGUCAGCAAGAUUUAUAGGUGGGCAAAGGCAGUGAUGCCAUGCCAAAUGUUCGCAUCGGAUCUGACAUCGGAUCUAACAAAACUAACAUCCAGAACUUUCUCCAAAUCAGUGCUUUCUGAGAUGAAAUGAUAAAACACCACCUUGUCCACACUCCGGCCACGCUCUAGAGUAUUUGAGCGUACAACCUAACAGAGGACCAGUGAUGUAAAGCAAGAAGGAGGAGAGCAAACGUUUAAAUCACAUAAUUAAAAGUUAGAAAAAGAAAGGGAAGGGUGGCGACCGACGACUAGUAAAGCACCGCUGGUUAGAAAUUGAAGAGACAGCGAGGAGGUGAGUGUCUGGGGGAAAGAAAAAAAACAAAAGAUUUUCUGCCAUCCCUCUCUCUCUAAUAGUCAUUCACCCAAUUUUUUU